Molecule: ribosomal RNA, 225 nt
Filed under: uncultured bacterium
Lineage: Bacteria
Description: partial 16S ribosomal RNA
Rfam family: Bacterial small subunit ribosomal RNA
Source: RNAcentral
CGUAACACGUGAACAACCUGCCCUCGUGUGGGGGAUAGCCAUGCUAACGCGUGGGUAAUACCGCAUACGCUCUCUUUGGGGAGUCCCGAGGAGAGGAAAGCUCCGGCGCACGGGGAGGGGUUCGCGGCCUAUCAGCUAGUUGGCGGGGUAAUGGCCCACCAAGGCGACGACGGGUAGCUGGUCUGAGAGGAUGGCCAGCCACAUUGGGACUGAGAGACGGCCCAG